This 73-nucleotide small RNA is filed under the name Xanthomonas campestris. Its description in RNAcentral is "sRNA sX9". It matches the Rfam family "Xanthomonas sRNA sX9". The record is from RNAcentral. Lineage: Bacteria; Pseudomonadati; Pseudomonadota; Gammaproteobacteria; Lysobacterales; Lysobacteraceae. RNAcentral also lists the same sequence under 1 other name.
AGGGACCAGCCGCAUUCCGGUUCACCCGCGCCGCCCACACCCACCUGCGAGUGCUCACGCCGUUUUGUUGGCC